RNAcentral lists this ribosomal RNA (26 nucleotides) under Leptographium piriforme. RNAcentral's name for it is "partial 5.8S ribosomal RNA". The record is from RNAcentral. Lineage: Eukaryota; Fungi; Ascomycota; Sordariomycetes; Ophiostomatales; Ophiostomataceae.
CGGGCAUGCCUGUCCGAGCGUCAUUU